UAGGCAGUUGGUGAGGUAACGGCUCACCAAACCUUCGAUGGAUAGGGGUUCUGAGAGGAAGGUCCCCCACAUUGGAACUGAGACACGGUCCAAACUCCUACGGGAGGCAGCAGUGAGGAAUAUUGGUCAAUGGGCGCAGGCCUGAACCAGCCAAGUAGCGUGAAGGAUGACUGCCCUAUGGGUUGUAAACUUCUUUUAUAUGGGAAUAAAGUUUUCCACGUGUGGAAUUUUGUAUGUACCAUAUGAAUAAGGAUCGGCUAACUCCGUGCCAGCAGCCGCGGUAAUACGGAGGAUCCGAGCGUUAUCCGGAUUUAUUGGGUUUAAAGGGAGCGUAGGUGGACAGUUAAGUCAGUUGUGAAAGUUUGCGGCUCAACCGUAAAAUUGCAGUUGAUACUGGCUGUCUUGAGUACAGUAGAGGUGGGCGGAAUUCGUGGUGUAGCGGUGAAAUGCUUAGAUAUCACGAAGAACUCCGAUUGCGAAGGCAGCUCACUGGACUGCAACUGAC
This 505-nucleotide ribosomal RNA is filed under the name uncultured Bacteroidales bacterium. RNAcentral describes it as "bacterial SSU rRNA". It matches the Rfam family "Bacterial small subunit ribosomal RNA", at positions 242 to 744 of the family's 1533-position model. The record is from RNAcentral. Lineage: Bacteria; Pseudomonadati; Bacteroidota; Bacteroidia; Bacteroidales.